RNA transcript from Musa acuminata AAA Group (dessert banana), 3761 nucleotides. RefSeq lists it as uncharacterized. NCBI's taxonomy places the organism in Eukaryota, Viridiplantae, Streptophyta, Magnoliopsida, Zingiberales, Musaceae. The record is from RefSeq and is a predicted model, not a curated record. The transcript is spliced from 10 exons.
AGGACGACAUACGAAUACGGGACGAAAGCAAAUGCUGAGCAAAUAGAACAGAGACAAGCAAUGGAGAAGAACCUUGUUUCCAUGGCUCGGGAGGUUGAGAAGCUGAGAGCAGAGCUGGAGAAGAGAGCAAGGGGACCUGACAUGAGCUACCCAGCACUGUUUCGUGAUGGUUAUGCCAGUGAGAAAGGGUUUUAUGGUACUGGUCCAUGGGCAUCCGACGAACCUCAUGGCUUUCCUCGCCAUUAAUGGGUUACAUUUUUCUACCAAGUCACUAAAUAUCUUUCCUCUUGUUUUUUUGGUGCAAUGCCUUGGAAUUAGUCUGUUGCAUGCAUUUACUUUACACUUUAGUUUUAUGCCACACUUAAACAUCAAUUGUAAGGAUUCUAUUUUGGAUUAUAGAAAAUGUUUAUCGUUGCUACUGAAUCUAACCUGUGACUGUAAUAUCUUUGACCUUUAAUUAUCAUGUGUGCUUCUAUGGGGAAAGAAUGCAGGAGAUAAUUCAUGUAGCCAAGCCCAAGUAAUUUGUUAUAUGGGAUGUUGUGUGUUAUCAAUGCAAAUUGUUUAGCUGCUUUACUCCAAUGAACAUUAUGCAUAAUCUUUAAUUCCUCUAAUUAGUUGGCAUUGGGCCUUUGAUUGUCGAGUCAUUUGGCUUUUAUCAUGCAUCAAAUGAGGGUUAGAGUUCCCCCAUCAUCAUCCGGAUGUACCGGCUUGGAAGUGAAAACUCAGAUGAGGUAUCAGUUUGAGGUAAGUGUGACAGGUCUCCUCUUCUUAUGAUCGUUCUUUUCAAUUAUUACGUACACCAGUCGUUUAAUAACAUUGAUUGAGACAAGGAUAUUAUGUCAUUCUGUUAGCAUCUUGUUCAUAUAUUCUCGUUAAUGUGUUCGUAUUACUAAUUUCAUCCUUGUUUGUUUUCAUUUUUUCCUUGCACCCUAUGUGACACGUGACGAUUAAAGCUUGAUCAUAUUGGCAGCCAGUCUUUUAUUUGCUCAUCCAAGAAGACUUGGACGAGAAGAAGUCGCCAGGCAGCUGCAGAACAAACAGGAAAUAAUGGAGGAGCAUAUCUUAAACCAAAAAUGUUAAUUCUUUACCUCACGCUGUCAAAAAGCAUUCGUUUGUUUCUAGUUUUCUGUUGUUGUGCCGUGCCACCUCCUGCCAGCACUCGUGUCAGGUCGUUCUCGAAGACUCCGUUUUCAGGUGGUUUGUGGUGAGGACGCCUAUACUUACAAAGAUCACUAAGAGUGUCAUCCUUCCUUGUACACCUUUCCUUUACAACAUAUCUGCCUCUUCUUAUUGAAAAUGCUAGUAUAAGGACUCAUUGGACACCGAUCAAAGUUCAGGGACCUAAUUGAAAAGUGUGGUAGAGUAUACGUAAUGUACAGAUCUCCGUAGUACACGUCUGGUACAGCGAUGCUCUCUAAUAAGUGUGACGGCCUUGUAAAGACGGUGGCACCGGUUGGCGCAUGUAGCAAAUAAAAAUAAGAUCGGAACCCUCACAUUUCAUAUCUGCGUUGAUUUGGUCCGUCUUCUCUCUCUUUAAUCCCAACGGUGCCUCUGCCGUUACUGCAUUCGUCUCCCUUUUCGUCUCACCAACCCGCUACUCCCCUUUCCCCUUCUCACUCUUCCCUCGCGCCGCUUCGCUCUCGGAUUCCUUCUCUCACUACCAAAGCAUGAGCCUCAGCGACUCGCAGCAGCGACGGCCGCAGCGGCAAUCCGUCUUCUCCGGUGCCGAUCCCGCCUGCAUCGACAACGACGGCCACGAGGAGAACGGAGACAGCAGCGACCCGUCGCUGCCGCCGCCGACACCCGCCGCGGCGGGGCAGGCGAGCAGGCAUUGGCGGGACGUCUUUUGGCUCUGCGUCUUCCUCCUCCACCUCCUCGUUUUCGGGUUCGCGCUCGCGCUCCUCGGGAUCAACCGCUUCAACCGCGCCGACCGGCUCAACAUCGAUCGCUUCACCAAUCUCACUGGCGGGGCCAACUUCAGCCAGGCUUCGUUUGUCCAGUACCUGAAGCAGACCGAUACGGCGGAGCUCACGGAGACGUAUUGGCCGUUCUACGGGGUGGCUGGCGGAGCCAGCGUGCUGUUGGCGUGGGCGUGGCUGUCGCUGCUGCGUAUCCGAGCCAGCCAGAUGAUGAAGGUGUCUAUCCAUAUCCUCACCACCUAUCUCGCUGUCGUCAGCGUCUUGUGCUUCUGGGCAGAACACUUCUUCUGGGGCGUGGUCUUUGCGGUCGGCGCGGCGCUGCAAUUCCUGUAUGUCAUGUCGGUAUUGGACAGGUUUCCUUUCACAAUGCUAGUGCUACAAAAGGCUGUGAAGAUGGUCUUGGCCAUUCCCGAUUUGAUGCGAGUAGCCUAUGCUUUUAUGAUAAUUAUGCUUUGUUGGAUGAUAUUAUGGUCAUUUGGAAUAUCUGGGGUUAUUGCUUCAAGCUUGGAUGACAGUGGAUGUUGGUGGCUUCUUGUGAUAUUUUCUGUCAGUUUAUUUUGGACGGGUGCUGUAUUUUGCAACACAGUCCAUGUUAUAGUAUCCGGCAUGGUCUUCCUUGUUCUCAUGCAUGGUAAUGUAAGUGCAGCAUCAAUGCCUUCAAAGCCACUUUUGAAGUCACUACGUUAUGCUGUGACAACUUCUUUUGGUAGCAUUUGCUAUGGAUCACUUUUUACAGCUGCAAUUCGAACAUUGCGGUGGAAGAUACGAGGAAUUCGGUCGAAGAUUGGCAGCAAUGAAUGUCUCCUAUGCUGUGUUGAUUUCUUGUUUCACCUUGUGGAGACACUAGUUCGUUUCUUCAACAAGUAUGCCUAUGUUGAGAUUGCAGUUAAUGGUAAAGGCUUCAACAGCUCAGCCAGGGAUGCCUGGGAGUUAUUCCAGUCCACUGGCAUUGAAGCUCUUGUUGCCUAUGACUGUUCAGGUGCAGUUCUUCUGAUGGGCAUUAUUUUGGGUGGGCUACUUACUGGAACAUGUACAGGAGUUUGGACAUGGUAUAAGAGGAGUGAUAAACUGAUCAUGGUUGGUUCUACCGCUAUUUUGAUGGGAAUGAUUUUGGUGGGCCUGGCGGUAGUCGUUAUCGAAAGUGCAGUUACAUCUAUAUACGUAUGCUAUGCAGAAGACCCAUUCUUGAUCCAGAGAUGGGAUGCUGAAUUUUUUGACCAGAUGUCAGAGGUAUUACACGAGCGAUUACAGUAUCGAAGUGCAAGAGCCAGACAAGUGAUGGACCAGCGAUUCGAUCAGUUACCAGAUGAAUCACAUGUUUGAUUCUGUGCGAUGGUUUACCAGUUGUAUUCUCAUUCUGAUUUGUUCAUGGCUUUGCAAACAUUGGUACAAUCCAGGAUGGUGCUGAGGGACUCAAAAUCGCAAGUGAAGGCUUCAACUCCAUUUGUGCCAACCUUUCCAAGAACCUACUGCUGCCAAACCCUGGUAAUAAAUUCUCCUGACUUGAGGAUGCCAUCGUUAUUACACUCAUCACCCGUUCUCAUUGACGACGCUGAUGGUGAUAAUGCAGAGGCGGUUUUCCCUUGGUUUAAUGCCACCGAAGACACUAGAGGUAGAUUAGGAGCAAAAAAGGGCGAAUCUUUACAUCCUUUAAAGUAAAUCUUCUUCCACCGAUGCUUGAAUUUCCAAUGGUUGAAAACUUAAAAAGAGGAAAAGUUCCCCCUCUAUCGAGAUGAUGAUAUAUAAUGUAAGUUUUAAUUGUACAGAAGUCCAUUUGGGAAUUUUCGUAUAUAUUAAUUCUAGUGCUUACAUUGUGAACAAUGAAACCCUUUUUUCACUACA